This 307-nucleotide long non-coding RNA is filed under the name Bos taurus (domestic cattle). Its description in RNAcentral is "long non-coding RNA NONBTAT014844". The record is from RNAcentral. Lineage: Eukaryota; Metazoa; Chordata; Mammalia; Artiodactyla; Bovidae.
GGCCGCUGUGUCAGAACUUGGUCUUUUCUUUCAAAACAGUCAUGGAGCAAAGGAGGCAUCCUUUAAAAUCUCUUUGAUGAUGUAAAGCUGAUUCUCUUUCCCAGGAAUUUUAUGGGCAAGGAUAGGAAGAAGAUUCAGAUAAAGAAAUGUUAACACUUAUCCUUUAAAAUCUAGGAAUGAAAACCACGGGGAAAAGCAAAACAUGAAAUCAAAACUAACAUAGGAUUUUCAAGGUAAGUUCUACUUUGGUACGUUUUUAAGAUACAUUUUUAAUAAUACUUCUUUGGGAAUUUUAUAAAGAAAAGUA